Molecule: ribosomal RNA, 394 nt
Filed under: uncultured bacterium
Lineage: Bacteria
Description: partial 16S ribosomal RNA
Rfam family: Bacterial small subunit ribosomal RNA
Source: RNAcentral
AUACGUAGGGGGCAAGCGUUGUCCGGAAUUACUGGGCGUAAAGCGCACGCAGGCUGACUUAUAAGUCGGUAGUCUAAUGCGGAGGCUCAACUUCCGUUUAUCUAUCGAUACUGUAAGACUAGAGUAUGUGAGAGGGAAGUGGAAUUCCCGGUGUAGCGGUGAAAUGCAUAGAGAUCACACAGAACACCGAUUGCGAAGGCAUCUCACGAAGGGGUGAUUGACGCUGAGGCACGAAAGCGUGGGGAUCAAACAGGAUUAGAUACCCUGGUAGUCCACGCAGUAAACGAUGAUAACGAACCGCUGGGUCGUAGUGAUUCAGUGGCCAAGCGAAAGCGAUAAGUUAUCCACCUGGGGAGUACGACCGCAAGGUUGAAACUCAAAGGAAUUGACGGGG